Molecule: ribosomal RNA, 808 nt
Filed under: uncultured Glomeromycotina
Lineage: Eukaryota; Fungi; Glomeromycota
Description: SSU rRNA
Rfam family: Eukaryotic small subunit ribosomal RNA
Source: RNAcentral
CAACUUUCGAUGGUAGGAUAGAGGCCUACCAUGGUGGUAACGGGUAACGGGGAAUUAGGGUUCGAUUCCGGAGAGGGAGCCUGAGAAACGGCUACCACUUCCAAGGAAGGCAGCAGGCGCGCRAAAUUACCCAAUCCCGACACGGGGAGGUAGUGACAAUAAAUAACAAUACGGGGCUCUUUCGGGUCUCGUAAUUGGAAUGAGUACAAUUUAAAUCCCUUAACGAGGAACAAUUGGAGGGCAAGUCUGGUGCCAGCAGCCGCGGUAAUUCCAGCUCCAAUAGCGUAUAUUAAAGUUGUUGCAGUUAAAAAGCUCGUAGUUGAAUUUCGGGAUUGACGUGAUGGUCGUGCCUUAAGGGGUAUGAACUGUCGCAGUUGAUUUCUCACCUUCUGGAGAAGCAUGAUGUCCUUAAUUGGGUGUCAUGUGGAACCAGGACCUUUACCUUGAAAAAAUUAGAGUGUUUAAAGCAGGCAUUUUGCUCGAAUACAUUAGCAUGGAAUAAUAGAAUAGGACGGCAUGGUUCUAUUUUGUUGGUUUCUAGGAUCACCGUAAUGAUUAAUAGGGAUAGUUGGRGGGCAUUAGUAUUCAAUUGUCAGAGGUGAAAUUCUUGGAUUUAUUGAAGACUAACUACUGCGAAAGCAUUUGCCAAGGAUGUUUUCAUUAAUCAAGAACGAAAGUUAGGGGAUCGAAGACGAUCAGAUACCCGUCGUAGUUCUUAACCAURAAACUAUGCCGACUAGGAAUCAGACGAUGUUAAUUUUUUUAAUGACUCGUUUGGCACCUUACGGGAAACCAAAGUGUUUGGGUU